UACGUAGGCAGCGAGCGUUGUUCGGAAUUACUGGGCGUAAAGAGUGUGUAGGCGGUGCUCCCAGUCUGUUGUGAAAUCUCCCGGCUUAACUGGGAGGGUGCAGCGGAAACUAGAGUGCUAGAGGGUGGGAGAGGUAAGCGGAAUUCCCGGUGUAGCGGUGAAAUGCGUAGAUAUCAGGAGGAACACCUGUGGUGUAGACAGCUUACUGGACCACUUCUGACGCUGAGACACGAAAGCGUGGGUAGCAAACAGG
RNAcentral lists this ribosomal RNA (253 nucleotides) under uncultured bacterium. RNAcentral's name for it is "partial 16S ribosomal RNA". It matches the Rfam family "Bacterial small subunit ribosomal RNA", at positions 524 to 776 of the family's 1533-position model. The record is from RNAcentral.